UAUGGCUCAGGACGAACGCUGGCGGCGUGCCUAACACAUGCAAGUCGAGCGAGGAGAUCCUUCGGGAUGAUCCUAGCGGGCGGACGGGUCGAGUAACACGUGGGCAACCUGCCUCAUAGAGAGGAAUACGCCUUCCGAAAGGGAGAUUAAUACCUCAUAACAUUGCAGUUUCGCAUGGAACAGCAAUUAAAGGAGUAAUCCGCUAUGGAGAUGGGGCCCCGCGGCGCAUUAGCUAGUUGGUGAGGUAACGGCUCACCAAGGCGACGAUGCGUAGCCGACCUGAGAGGGUGAUCGGCCACAUUGGGACUGAGACACGGCCCAGACUCCUACGGGAGGCAGCAGUGGGGAAUAUUGCACAAUGGGGGAAACCCUGAUGCAAGCAACGCCGCGUGAGUGAUGACGGCCUUCGGGGUUGUAAAGCUCUGUCUUCAGGGACGAUAAUGACGGUACCUGAGGAGGAAGCCACGGCUAACUACGUGCCAGCCGCUGC
Molecule: ribosomal RNA, 490 nt
Filed under: uncultured bacterium
Lineage: Bacteria
Description: bacterial SSU rRNA
Rfam family: Bacterial small subunit ribosomal RNA
Source: RNAcentral